This 431-nucleotide ribosomal RNA is filed under the name uncultured bacterium. Its description in RNAcentral is "partial 16S ribosomal RNA". It matches the Rfam family "Bacterial small subunit ribosomal RNA", at positions 29 to 507 of the family's 1533-position model. The record is from RNAcentral.
AACGAACGCUGGCGGCAGGCCUAACACAUGCAAGUCGAGCGCCCCGCAAGGGGAGCGGCGGACGGGUGAGUAACGCGUGGGAAUAUGCCCUUUGCUACGGAAUAGUCUCGGGAAACUGGGGGUAAUACCGUAUACGCCCUUUGGGGGGAAGAUUUAUCGGCGAAGGAUUAGCCCGCGUUGGAUUAGGUAGUUGGUGGGGUAAUGGCCUACCAAGCCGACGAUCCAUAGCUGGUUUGAGAGGAUGAUCAGCCACACUGGGACUGAGACACGGCCCAGACUCCUACGGGAGGCAGCAGUGGGGAAUCUUAGACAAUGGGGGCAACCCUGAUCAAGCCAUGCCGCGUGAGUGAUGAAGGCCUGAGGGUUGUAAAGCUCUUUCAGCUGGGAAGAUAAUGACGGUACCAGCAGAAGAAGCCCCGGCUAACUCCGUG